Xiphophorus maculatus (southern platyfish) is the source of this 114-nucleotide non-coding RNA. NCBI's taxonomy places the organism in Eukaryota, Metazoa, Chordata, Actinopteri, Cyprinodontiformes, Poeciliidae. The record is from Rfam.
CUCAGAUAUGGCGACAUGGUCCCAAAGACCAUCAUGGGGAAGCUCUUCGGCUCCGUCUGCUCCCUGAGCGGCGUGCUGGUCAUCGCCCUGCCCGUCCCCGUCAUCGUGUCCAAC